AACGAACGCUGGCGGCGCGCCUAAUACAUGCAAGUCGAGCGAGAAGACGUAGCAAUACGUUUGUAAAGCGGCGAGCGGGUGAGGAAUACAUGGGUAACCUACCCUCGAGUGGGGAAUAACUAGCCGAAAGGUUAGCUAAUACCGCGUACGCUCCUUGGACUUCGGUUCAGGGAGGAAAGCGAUACCGUGGGUAUCGCGCUCUUGGAUGGGCUCAUGUCCUAUCAGCUUGUUGGUGAGGUAACGGCUCACCAAGGCUUCGACGGGUAGCUGGUCUGAGAGGACGAUCAGCCACACUGGCACUGCGACACGGGCCAGACUCCUACGGGAGGCAGCAGUAAGGAAUAUUGCGCAAUGGGCGAAAGCCUGACGCAGCGACGCCGCGUGGGGGAUGAAGGUCUUCGGAUUGUAAACCCCUUUCGGGUAGGGAAGAU
RNAcentral lists this ribosomal RNA (431 nucleotides) under uncultured bacterium. RNAcentral's name for it is "bacterial SSU rRNA". It matches the Rfam family "Bacterial small subunit ribosomal RNA", at positions 29 to 449 of the family's 1533-position model. The record is from RNAcentral.